RNAcentral lists this ribosomal RNA (387 nucleotides) under uncultured eukaryote. RNAcentral's name for it is "partial 18S ribosomal RNA". It matches the Rfam family "Eukaryotic small subunit ribosomal RNA", at positions 592 to 976 of the family's 1831-position model. The record is from RNAcentral.
CAAUAGCGUAUACUAAAGUUGUUGCAGUUAAAAAGCUCGUAGUUGGAUUUCUGGCUCGGCAAGCCUAGCCCGAGGACCUGGUGUCCUUGUGAGCUGGCGCUUGUCGGCCAUCCUUCAGGAGAGUGUUUCUGCCCUUGAUUGGGUUGGGGACAGGAUCCUGAUCGUUUACUUUGAAAAAAUUAGAGUGUUCAAAGCAGGCGUGUGCUGUGAAUACAUUAGCAUGGAAUAACACGAUAGGACUCUGGCCUAUCUUGUUGGUCUGUAGGACCGGAGUAAUGAUUAAGAGGGACAGUCGGGGGCAUUCGUAUUUCAUUGUCAGAGGUGAAAUUCUUGGAUUUAUGAAAGACGAACUACUGCGAAAGCAUUUGCCAAGGAUGUUUUCAUUAA